Molecule: ribosomal RNA, 393 nt
Filed under: uncultured bacterium
Lineage: Bacteria
Description: partial 16S ribosomal RNA
Rfam family: Bacterial small subunit ribosomal RNA
Source: RNAcentral
AUACGGAGGAUGCGAGCGUUAUCCGGAUUUAUUGGGUUUAAAGGGUGCGUAGGCGGUUUAUCAAGUCAGCGGUGAAACGCAAGGGCUUAACCCUUGACCUGCCGUUGAAACUGGUGGACUGGAAUGCGGAUGCUGUGGGAGGAAUGGGUGGUGUAGCGGUGAAAUGCAUAGAUAUCACACAGAACACCGAUUGCGAAGGCAUCUCACGAACGGAUGAUUGACGCUGAGGCACGAAAGCGUGGGGAUCAAACAGGAUUAGAUACCCUGGUAGUCCACGCAGUAAACGAUGAUAACUAACCGCUGGGCAUUCGUGUUCAGUGGCCAAGCGAAAGCGAUAAGUUAUCCACCUGGGGAGUACGACCGCAAGGUUGAAACUCAAAUGAAUUGGCGGGG